RNAcentral lists this long non-coding RNA (464 nucleotides) under Ananas comosus (pineapple). RNAcentral's name for it is "long non-coding RNA (ACOM_LNC019524)". The record is from RNAcentral. Lineage: Eukaryota; Viridiplantae; Streptophyta; Magnoliopsida; Poales; Bromeliaceae.
UUAAACCGCCUCUACGAUCGCUAAAAACCGCCUCUACAAGCGCCUUUUCCUGUAGUGCACUAUCAUCCCAACCGUAGAAUUUUUUAUCCAAGGGCUAAAAAAUCGGAAGCACCAACUAAUUUAUGCUUCCGAUAGCAUAGUAGCUCUAUACUAUAUAUAUAUAUAGAGAGAGAGAGAGAGAGAGUUGAGUUAGAAUACUUUCAAAAACACCCAGAGGUUGGUGCUUUUGAGAAAUAUAAGGUUGGGAUGAUGGUGGUAGGUGGUGGUAGGUGAUGGUAGAUGGAAUAGUAUUUGAUCCAAUUAUUAUUAGUAAUCAAGAAGUAGAUACAAGGACUAGAAACCUAGAAGUAAAAAUGGAGUGAUACUUUUAAAAAUAUUCUAGCUCAAUUAUAUAUAUAUAUAUAUAUAUAUAUAGAGAGAGAGAGAGAGAGAGAGAGAGAGAGAGAAAGUUUGAGAGAGAGAAA